UCUUUCAGGUAGCCAAGAUGAGGUAAGGAGCAUAAUGGAUCAGCACUUUUCCAUACUUGUUAAGACAGAACAAAGACAUUAUGAUUUAUAUUACUAUUACUGAUUAUCUCUUCUAAGAAAAAAGGAGCCAGGGGCCCAAGCGUCACAGAAGAGUGGACAUGGAACUUCACCACUGAAGCACAGCAUCACAUAGAGACAAGCCCCUGGAUGCCUGCGGGCUUACACCUGACAGUGUCAGGCCUCCUGCAAGAGCUUGGAGAAGCGGAAUUUUCUCCUAACUCCUCCGAGGAAGGAGAUGUCUUGGCUAUUUUGGACGUCCCCUUCCCUAGCUGGCUAAACAGCGGGCACUUUCCCAGCUCUGGCGCUACCGCACAGCUGAGGUGCCCUCCAGCAGACAGAGGGCAUAAAGCGUCUUGCC
Long non-coding RNA from Sapajus apella (tufted capuchin), 418 nucleotides. RefSeq lists it as uncharacterized. Lineage: Eukaryota; Metazoa; Chordata; Mammalia; Primates; Cebidae. The record is from RefSeq and is a predicted model, not a curated record. The transcript has 3 exons.